GACGAACGCUGGCGGCGUGCUUAACACAUGCAAGUCGAACGGAAAGGCCCUGCUUUUGUGGGGUGCUCGAGUGGCGAACGGGUGAGUAACACGUGAGUAACCUGCCCUUGACUUUGUGAUAACUUCAGGAAACUGGGGCUAAUAUCGGAUAGGAGCUCCUGCUGCAUGGUAGGGGUUGGAAAGUUUCGGCGGUUGGGGAUGGACUCGCGGCUUAUCAGCUUGUUGGUGGGGUAGUGGCGUACCAAGGCUUCGACGGGUAGCCGGCCUGAGAGCGUGACCGGCCACAUUGGGACUGCGGUACGGCCCAGACUCCUAUGGGAGGCAGCAGUGGGGAAUAUUGCACAAUGGGCGGAAGCCUGAUGCAGCAACGCCGCGUGCGGGAUGACGGCCUUCGGGUUGUAAACCGCUUUCGAAUGUGACGAAGCGUGAGUGACGGUAAUGGGUAAAGAAGCACCGGCUAACUACGUG
This 468-nucleotide ribosomal RNA is filed under the name uncultured bacterium. RNAcentral's name for it is "partial 16S ribosomal RNA". It matches the Rfam family "Bacterial small subunit ribosomal RNA", at positions 28 to 507 of the family's 1533-position model. The record is from RNAcentral.